This is a long non-coding RNA of Hyla sarda, 1171 nucleotides long. RefSeq lists it as uncharacterized. The transcript has 3 exons. The record is from RefSeq and is a predicted model, not a curated record. NCBI's taxonomy places the organism in Eukaryota, Metazoa, Chordata, Amphibia, Anura, Hylidae.
CCUCAUUUUGACUUGUUUUAAAGACAUUACAGCAAAGUUGGAUCAGCCUGUAGUGUGGUUUUCCACUUUGAUUUUGAGUGUGACUCCAUAGCCAGACCUCCAUGGCUUGAUGAAUUAGAUUUUGUUGUCAGCACAUUCAACUAUGUAAAAAUGAAAGUAUUAGUUCAUUCAUUUAGAUCUAGGAUGUGUUAUCUUAGUGUUCUCUUUAUUUAUUUUUUUUGAGCAGUGUAUUUUUUUUUUACUCCACCCUUCACAAAAAUCAGUUUACAUUAUUUCUUUUGACUUGUGUUGGGCUGCUGCAGUCAGAGCCGGCGUUAGGGGGGGCAAACUGGGCAAUUGCCCAGGGCCCCCAUCUCCAAAGGGGCCCCCUGUCUCUGUCCCCGGCGCCCCCCUCGCCCCCGGCGGCGCUGCUGUGACACAUCCUUGCUGUGACACAGAUGUGCGCAGCGCAGGCACGCACGUCAGCGCCUAGCCCCUGAGCUGUGUCUGUGCUGGCAGAAGUACGUGAGGCCGGACCUUGGUGUGAGCUCUGAGUGUCGCCUCCGCCAAUGCAGCACGACCUUACGCCUCUUGGAUAUGGAGUACAACAAAGCUCCACAUGUUGCCACUGGAGUCCUCUUCCAUUCCUCCAAGAUGACAUCACGGAGCUGAUUGAUGUUAGAAAUGUUACGCUCUCCUACAUUUCGUUUGAGGAUGCCCCGCAGAUGCUCAAUAGGGUUUAGGUCUGGAGAUAGGCUUGGCCAGUCCAUCACCUUUACUCAAAGCUUCUUCAGUAAGUGACCUGAAAGUAUCCUCCUAGAGGACAUCAGACAUGUCAAAAUCACUUUGCCUUAUCAGCAGUGAAUGUAUUUGGGGAGAAUAUAGUGACAGACUCAUUAGGAUCUCCUGGUUACAUCACCCAAGAGAAAGGGAACAUUCCUGUAUGACUGAUGCAGAUAGUAGGACUGAUGCUUAUGGUCUGUAACUUCUUCCAUAACUCAAAAUACUCUCUAUGAAUCCUGUCUUUAUCUAAUCACUGACCGGUCGUCAUAAUUUCAGUAUAUAAAUCCCCUCUCAUAUAUACCUCAUUUCCUAACUCAUGUUUUACCAGGUGAUGAACCAUAAAUGCUACAACCAUCUGGUAGACUCAUUUUCCUUCGGCGUCAUCUUAUUUAUAAUAAAAUGAUAGUUU